This 71-nucleotide transfer RNA is filed under the name Stenopsyche tienmushanensis. RNAcentral describes it as "tRNA-Asp". Lineage: Eukaryota; Metazoa; Arthropoda; Insecta; Trichoptera; Stenopsychidae. The record is from RNAcentral.
AGAAAAUUAGUUAAUACUAAUAUAACAUAAAUUUGUCAAAUUUAAAUAAUUUAUUUAAUAAAUAUUUUCUU